RNAcentral lists this ribosomal RNA (495 nucleotides) under uncultured bacterium. Its description in RNAcentral is "partial 16S ribosomal RNA". It matches the Rfam family "Bacterial small subunit ribosomal RNA", at positions 28 to 507 of the family's 1533-position model. The record is from RNAcentral.
GACGAACGCUGGCGGCGUGCCUAAUACAUGCAAGUAGAACGCUGAAGGAGGAGCUUGCUUCUCUGGAUGAGUUGCGAACGGGUGAGUAACGCGUAGGUAACCUGCCUGGUAGCGGGGGAUAACUGUUGGAAACGAUAGCUAAUACCGCAUAAGAGUAGAUGUUGCAUGACAUUUGCUUAAAAGGUGCAAUUGCAUCACUACCAGAUGGACCUGCGUUGUAUUAGCUAGUUGGUGGGGUAACGGCUUACCAAGGCGACGAUACAUAGCCGACCUGAGAGGGUGAUCGGCCACACUGGGACUGAGACACGGCCCAGACUCCUACGGGAGGCAGCAGUAGGGAAUCUUCGGCAAUGGACGGAAGUCUGACCGAGCAACGCCGCGUGAGUGAAGAAGGGUGUCGGAUCGUAAAGCUCUGUUGUAAGAGAAGAACGAGUGUGAGAGUGGAAAGUUCACACUGUGACGGUAUCUUACCAGAAAGGGACGGCUAACUACGUG